CUCCUGUUCUCCAUCACUCUCGAGCCCUUUAUUCUCAUUAACACUGGAUGAGGUGAGUGAGCUGAGUGCUUGCAACACACGUAAGAUUGCUGCCCCAGCCAUGGAACCAGCACUAAGACCCAGCAUCUGUGUAUUACUCAGGGUGACAAGCUCACUGACGGCUGAAUUGCUCAAGCCAUGAGCCAAUUCUGAAAGCUCUGAACUGAAGAACUU
Molecule: unclassified non-coding RNA, 213 nt
Filed under: Hevea brasiliensis (rubber tree)
Lineage: Eukaryota; Viridiplantae; Streptophyta; Magnoliopsida; Malpighiales; Euphorbiaceae
Source: RNAcentral